UGGGGAAUAUUGGACAAUGGGCGCAAGCCUGAUCCAGCCAUGCCACGUGAAUGAUGAAGGCCUUAGGGUUGUAAAGUUCUUUUAACAGGAAAGAUAAUGACGGUACCUGUAGAAAAAGUUCCGGCUAACUUCGUGCCAGCAGCCGCGGUAAUACGAAGGGAACUAGCGUUGUCCGGAAUUACUGGGCGUAAAGAGCGCGUAGGCGGUUUAUUAAGUUGGGAGUGAAAUCCCGGGGCUCAACCCCGGAACUGCUUUCAAAACUGAUAGGCUAGAGUGUGAUAGGGGGUGAUGGAAUUCCUAGUGUAGAGGUGAAAUUCUUAGAUAUUAGGAGGAACAUCGGUGGCGAAGGCGAUCGCCUGGAUCACAACUGACGCUGAGGCGCGAAAGCGUGGGGAGCAAA
RNAcentral lists this ribosomal RNA (400 nucleotides) under uncultured bacterium. RNAcentral's name for it is "bacterial SSU rRNA". It matches the Rfam family "Bacterial small subunit ribosomal RNA", at positions 355 to 772 of the family's 1533-position model. The record is from RNAcentral.